AACUACCAUCAGCGUUCCUCUAAACAGACCUCACAGCCUGGUGCAUUAGGUCACAGAGGUAGUUUUAAGGCUUGAACACUGUUAACAGUUUUGACUGUAAGGCAACACAUGGUUCCUGGCAGAAGCAGCACUGAUGCUCACACUGCUGUCACUGUGCUGAAGAAAUUGUCCUUCAUCCACAUAGGACUGGUCUUGUCUUAAGAGAGAAUGUAAUUUCCCAUCUUUAAACUCCAGAAGAGUUUCCAAUUGGCACUUGAACGCCAUGUCUGUAAGUGCUGACACCAAAGAACAAAUUAAGAGGCAAAGGGGUAAACACUGGCUUGUAUAUUGUAUUCUUUUUUGUUUUCAUUGCAGAGUAGCACUGCAAAAAAAAGGAGUUCAAGCCCACAAGUAAAUCAUCACCAAAGAGCACCUGCAUCACACUCUUCUUCACAGGAAGCUCCCAAGGUUCAAUGUGCAUGACUGCUAUGUGACUGUCCGGGAGGUGGAAAAUUCAAAAGGAUCUUUUCACAACAAACUGCUUUCCAUUCUAACUUCAUAUACAUAUACAAUUGUGCUGCUUUCCUCUGUUCCUAAAUCUAAUUUGGAGUCAAUUCUUGGACAUUUAAACAAAAAACAAAAAACCAAAAACUAUUCAUGAAAAGAAUCACCAAGGUUUAUAUGAUCUUAGUCUGAAGGUACAAUUUACCUGACCUUCAUUUGAAGUGAUUAUCUGAAAUAUGGGAUGAGAAUGACACUAGACCUCCGGUGCGGGAAGUAUUUAGCAUUUUUCAGAAAUGGCUCAAAAAUGAGCCAGGGCUGAAAGCUACAGCAGCUUGUAUGAUCAAGCUCCACAACUCUAACGUUUUACACAACACUAUUAUAAGGGGGAAGGCAUGGGGUGGGGUUCAUACUGAGAGGACCGGACUAAAUCUAUUCUCUUCACUUCUACUAAACCAAAGAGAAAAGUCCCCCAAAAUCACAAGUCUCAGAUUCAGCUAUGAAUGAUGCAUGGAAGUCUUUGCACAAGGAAUUGAUUUGGCUGAAUAUGUUAAGACCACAUAAACAAGUGGCCAUGGCAGCUGCCCCCCCAACCUCUUCCAACAUAGACAUGAAGCAGCAGAUAUUAACCAUUAUGCGUUUCCAUGUAAAAAGGGCAAUAAAGGAUAGCAGUACCCCUAAGACCUUACCCAUGAGGGAGUAUUUCAAAACUAUUUAAAAAAUAACUAACUCUGUACCUGAGGCUCAACUGCUAUUUUGUUUUCACUCUCUAUCUGCACACUCCCCUUUCGCAUUAAGGAUUCCUCUUUGCAGGUUAGCAUCUGAAUUGAUUAUGCCUAAACCACACGACAGCCUUCCCAGUGUGGAAUAAGAGAGUUGAACACGGUAGGGGCAGAAUAGCUGUUUCAAAACCAUGAUUCUCAGCUAGCUGUCUGAACCAAUAAACCUGAGGAGAAACCUUUCUCCUGCAUCAAAAACGUAAGCAUCAAUGUACCUACUGGGUGCCCCCUAGAAAUUGCUGUCAUGUACAUGCAUAUAAACACAGGGGUCAAAUUAUCUCUUUCAAGAUGAUGCAGGAAUUUCAUUACUUCAGAAAUGAUAGAAUCCAGUGAAAGCGAAUCCUUAUUAAAUAGAGUGGUCAAGUGAAACACAUUGUUUUGUUCAUGAUGAAAUCGUGACUGUAUUAUCAAAAAGCCUAUGGGUCUCAACUCAACUUUCCCUAACUUCUUUGGUUUUCCAGCCUUUCCCUCUUCCAGCCUUUGAAAAUGAAGUCCACCAGUGUGAGACCUGUAUGCUUGAUUUAGUGACUCAGUAAUCAUGACAUAGAUGUGAACUUUAUACUUAUGGUGUGAAAUCACAGAUAUUUUGGGACCAGCUGGAUCUGCUAUGGUAAAAUCGCACCAACGACUCCUGCUUUCAGACUUGCCUAUGGAGACAUUGGGAAAGAACAGAGGAGACUGAAGAGUGCUUAGAAAUCUGGGAACUGGGACUUCCACAUUCCAGUUCUUCCUGUGGCUUACCUCAUCAAUGACCCUCAGCUGAUCACAUAGUUCUUCAGUGCUACUGUUUUCUCUGCUGGCUCACAAGAGUGUUAGGAGAUGUGAGCACCCUACCAGUGAUACACAAAAUAGCUCUGGUGGGUUUCCAGAAUCAUCAGGAGCACUCAGGUCUUCAAAAGACUUGGAAAGCAUAAAGAAACACUGUGAAUGCAUGAUGCAGCAGAAGCACUUGUUUCUCAUGGGCACUUCGACAGCCAAGGCUUAUGCUGACCUUUUCAGGCUUUUCACCAAGGAACAACAAAAGAAUCAACAAAAGAAAGCCUGUGAAGAACUAUCCCAUUCCUGCGUUGCCUUACAUCUGUGCCAACAAGCAAGCUCUUUUGACAAAGGCAGUGCGUGGUGUGACAACCCUCAAGUAGAAAUGGAGACAAGAACUCGGUGGCAAAGCUUUCAGCAAUAGCUGUAACUAAAUCAAACCGCCAGCAGAAGGUGUGCCAGCAUUUGGAAAUUCCGUUUUUCCUCAUCCCUAUGAUUUAAGAUCAACAGCAUCUCAGGUAGAUAGCUAUUCAUCACAACAGAUUGGGGAAAAAACACUCAACAGGAAGCAGGACAUGUGAAAUUACUGGUGUAAAUGAAUGCAGUGCCACUGAAAAUCAGGUGGUUGCAUUGCUUUGUACCACCGGUGCUGAUUCUGGCUCAAUGCCUUCAGCACAUUGUGGAAAUUGAAAGCUCUGUGGCUGCCCCUGCAGAGGAUGUGCAGUCAGCCUUCCUGUGAGCCUCCUCAGGGUGCUAACACCCAAGAGACUCUCGCUCCUCCGCUCUGCAUAUGUCCUUUCACUUCGCUUCAACAUCAGUGUUUUUGUGAAAAAUGUCACACUAUGCCCAAGCUAUGCACCAGGCCCAAAGAGGCACUGUUGUGUGUUUUUGGAUAGGGAAACAGAAGGCAACCAAGAAAUUCACUUGCAAGCUGCAAAAGGGCUGCUAUUACUCAAUAAUAUACAAAAUUACUGCUACAGUGACUUCAUAAGAAGGGUAUCCUGCUUUGUGAUUUU
Long non-coding RNA from Pezoporus flaviventris, 3031 nucleotides. RefSeq lists it as uncharacterized. Lineage: Eukaryota; Metazoa; Chordata; Aves; Psittaciformes; Psittacidae. The record is from RefSeq and is a predicted model, not a curated record. The transcript has 3 exons.